This 832-nucleotide ribosomal RNA is filed under the name uncultured beta proteobacterium. Its description in RNAcentral is "bacterial SSU rRNA". It matches the Rfam family "Bacterial small subunit ribosomal RNA", at positions 8 to 828 of the family's 1533-position model. The record is from RNAcentral. Lineage: Bacteria; Pseudomonadati; Pseudomonadota; Betaproteobacteria.
AGAGUUUGAUCAUGGCUCAGAUUGAACGCUGGCGGCAUGCCUUACACAUGCAAGUCGAACGGCAGCAUGAUCUAGCUUGCUAGAUUGAUGGCGAGUGGCGAACGGGUGAGUAAUACAUCGGAACGUGCCCUGUAGUGGGGGAUAACUAGUCGAAAGAUUAGCUAAUACCGCAUACGACCUGAGGGUGAAAGUGGGGGACCGCAAGGCCUCAUGCUAUAGGAGCGGCCGAUGUCUGAUUAGCUAGUUGGUGAGGUAAAGGCUCACCAAGGCGACGAUCAGUAGCUGGUCUGAGAGGACGAUCAGCCACACUGGGACUGAGACACGGCCCAGACUCCUACGGGAGGCAGCAGUGGGGAAUUUUGGACAAUGGGCGAAAGCCUGAUCCAGCAAUGGCCGCGUGUGUGAAGAAGGCCUUCGGGUUGUAAAGCACUUUUGUCCGGAAAGAAAUGGCUCUGGUUAAUACCUGGGGUCGAUGACGGUACCGGAAGAAUAAGGACCGGCUAACUACGUGCCAGCAGCCGCGGUAAUACGUAGGGUCCAAGCGUUAAUCGGAAUUACUGGGCGUAAAGCGUGCGCAGGCGGUUGUGCAAGACCGAUGUGAAAUCCCCGAGCUUAACUUGGGAAUUGCAUUGGUGACUGCACGGCUAGAGUGUGUCAGAGGGGGGUAGAAUUCCACGUGUAGCAGUGAAAUGCGUAGAGAUGUGGAGGAAUACCGAUGGCGAAGGCAGCCCCCUGGGAUAACACUGACGCUCAUGCACGAAAGCGUGGGGAGCAAACAGGAUUAGAUACCCUGGUAGUCCACGCCCUAAACGAUGUCAACUAGUUGUUGGGG